This is a long non-coding RNA of Scylla paramamosain (green mud crab), 2800 nucleotides long. RefSeq lists it as uncharacterized. The transcript is spliced from 4 exons. The record is from RefSeq and is a predicted model, not a curated record. Lineage: Eukaryota; Metazoa; Arthropoda; Malacostraca; Decapoda; Portunidae.
UAUAUUGUGUUGGUUACAUUAAUGAUCUUAGGGAUCAUGGUACUUUGUGUUCAUUUAUGUUAGGUUGGUACCCUCACACACACACACACACACACACAGGCAUGGAAGAGGAAUUAGAGGGGAUGAGUAGGCGUGACCCUGGUGAGGAGGAGGCAGGGAGGAGCAGGAGGCAGGGGGGAAAGAGGAGGAAAAGGUGAUCUGUCUUGGAGUAGCAUGGAGCAUACACACACACACACACACACACACACAUCCAAAAUUAAUCCAGAAAAUAGAUAACCUCCAAAAUAACCUUAAAUAAUAAGUGAGGAAGAUUGACGGCCACCUUUGUUUUCAGCUGAGGUCCCUUUCCCCAAGCCACCAUGAUAGUUUGUCAGAGUCAGGCCGCAUUCUAAUAUUUAUUGUUUUUUAACUAGUUAUUUUGGUUAAAAGUAAGUUUUCAUGAUUUCUAAAAUGAUUUAGUUAUGUUUUAGGUGUUGUUCAUAUGUAUGUUAAGGGAAGUAUAUUGAUUAUGAGGUUGCUUGUAACGGUCGUUUUCUCGGCCACUUUAAAAAUUGUUUUAAUGCUUUUUUUUUUUUUUUCAUUUCAGCCGUUAGCUAACAUUUAAUUGCUUCUAAAAAUCGUUCAUGAUUUUUUAAUUGUUUUCCAUUCCUGUUCAGCUAGCUAUGUGGACUUUUAGAGUGAUUUAUAGGCAUGAUAAAAGUCGAAAAGUUGACAUUUUGUAUUAUUUUAUUUCUUUAUUUCAGCUUGUAACUAACUUUUGAUUGUUUGUAAAAAUAAUCUGAUUUUUUAAAGUGUUUUCAUUCCUAAUAGAUCAGAUUUAUGGACUUGAGAGUAUAUUUUUUACCGUGUUCCAACACUUUUUUAAUUACUUUUUUUUCAAAUAUUUUUAUCAUUAGUCAGGCUGAAAAUAUUUUCUUAUUCCCGGUAUUUGUUAAAGUUCAUGGCAAUUCAGAAAAUGUAAGGCAUUCCAUCCUAACUCCAUUUUUUCGAGGGGUCAAUUUCAUAUAGGAUCGCACUACGUAUAUAAGCUGUGACGUCAUCAUUCGCUACUCCAAGACAGGUCACCCCCCUCCACUUCUCCCGCCAACUUGUUCUUAUCUGCCCCGUUCCUCUCCCCCUGCGUGGGUCACCCCUCUCCCCUUUACCUCUUCCUUCCUCUCCCUGCCCGUGUGUGUGUUUGUGUGUUGGGAUAUUGCAAUGUACUCGUACUCAUAAUCAAACCCAAUCCUGCUACUGCUACCACUACUACUACUACUACUACUACUACUACUAGUAGCGCUGCUGCUGCUGACUCUAAGCUUAGUUCUCACAAGAGUUUGUAAUGAGCACUCCUCGUAUUUCUUCUUCUCGAUAGCCAGGAGCGAGUCCACAAUCGUUUUUACUCCAAGCACAUAAAAAUCAUAGCCACAGCAGCCAGACUGUUCGUCGGAGGAGGACUCCACCGUGAUUGUUUUGAUGGUGCGGGCCGGCGGCUGCUCUCGACCACAUGAAUGCUUUCGGCUGAAACCUGCCGGCAGUUCCAUGUAGCUGGAGCUAGCCGGGAGGAAAAAUUGCUCCGUGUAAACCCGCCUUUAGUGCUGACGAUGGUAAAAAGAAAACGAGUGUUAGCAAUUCCACCAUUUGCCUCACUACUGUUAUUAAUCAUUUGUUCCUCUAGUUAUCAUAGUUAGGUAGUUAUCAUAGUUAGGUAUGUAAUGUUUACAUUCUAAUACUUGUGAGUGAUGAUUUUUAUCUGAAUCUUGGUUACAUCAGUGGUUUGUGUUCAUGUCGACGUUUUGGUGGGCGGUGGUGGACGUAUCGCUAACCAAUAGUAAAUUCUUGAGAGAUGGACAUGAUGUCACCACCAGCCAAUCACAGCCUCCGCCUUGCUUCCUUCACGUCGCGCGGCGCGCAUGCCAGUCAAGUUCCCCAGUCCUCAGUCUGCUACUCACUCCACUUCUCCACCUGGCACGGGCUGUGGGUUGGUUACUGCGGUGUUCUUUUCUCCGUUAAGUGUUGGAAUCGCAGCCCCGCACGGUGCGUCUGUGUGUGCGUGUGCUGCGGUGUAAGUGUUGCGUGCAGCUGCAACCGCGAGAGAAGGGCUGUGUGGUGCUGUGGCUUCUGUGAGCUGCAGUUGCUGUCACCUCGGCAGUCGUCGCCGGCUCGGGUAGGUAGUACAAGGUUACGGGUUAUUGAAGGGCCGUAAUAACUCCAGCUGGCGGUCAAUGGCUGGUAAAGAUUUGAUGACGUCAGACGCAUGUCGGGAUUCCCUGUGACGAGGAGGCGACGCGAGCAUUUUUGGGACAGCUCUUGGUGACUGGUGGAAUGCUUGCCUAGGGUCACAUUCCCAGACACUGCCGCUCUGCUCUGUGAUGUGCUGCUGGAUGCCUUCGUGCUGUACCGUUCCCUGGGGGCGCGUCAUGUGUGUGGCUCAGACUCGUCACUCACUCUGGCUGAACACACGUGGCCUUUCCUGCUCUCAUGAACGUCCUGCACAAAAGUGAUCUGUCAAGCCACUGGUCUCCCUGCCAUCCUCGCCAGGCUCCCUCACGCACCCACAUUACAUCGCUCACAACACUACAUGAAUAUUUAUCGCCGCUGGAGCAUGGCACGGCUGCCCCUCAUGAAUAUUGAUCCAGUGCAGGGCGUGCGUGUCCAGGACUGUGAGGGAGUGAGUGUACUGCCGAGUGUCGAGUGUGUUGAGUGUUGCCUGGCGUGACCUGCCAGGGACGUGGCGGUGCGUGACGCGGCCCUGAGGAGGUGUACUAUUGGGAAAACUCUAGCCUGGUGUAAGAAUGAGUGAUAAAAACGCAAAAUUGUG